GACGAACGCUGGCGGCGUGCUUAAUACAUGCAAGUCGAACGGAAAGGCCCGGCGUUUGCGGGUUUCUCGUGUGGCGAACGCGGGAGUAACACGUGAGUAACCCGUCCCUGAAUUUGGGGUAACAUCAGGAAACAGGGGCUAAUAUCGGGUAUAAGCUCCAGCUCCAUGGGGUGCUAUGGAAAGUUUCGGCGGUGGGAGAUGGACUCGAUGCUCAUGAGCUGUAUGGGGGGGUAGUGGCUUACGAAGGUUUUGACGGCUAGCCGGCAUGGGAGGGUGACCGGCGACAUUGGGCCUGCGGUAGGGCGCAGACUCGUACGGGAGGCAGCGGGGGGGAAUAUUGCAGAAUGGGCGGAAGUCUGAUACAGCAACGCUGCGUGCGGGAUGCCGGGCUUCGGGUUGUAAACCGCUUUGGCAUGAGACGAAGCGUGAGUGACGGUAAUGGGUAAAGAAGCACCGGCUAACUACGUG
Molecule: ribosomal RNA, 468 nt
Filed under: uncultured bacterium
Lineage: Bacteria
Description: partial 16S ribosomal RNA
Rfam family: Bacterial small subunit ribosomal RNA
Source: RNAcentral